Molecule: ribosomal RNA, 492 nt
Filed under: uncultured bacterium
Lineage: Bacteria
Description: partial 16S ribosomal RNA
Rfam family: Bacterial small subunit ribosomal RNA
Source: RNAcentral
AGUGAACGCUGGCGGUAGGCCUAACACAUGCAAGUCGAACGGCAGCACAGUAAGAGCUUGCUCUUACGGGUGGCGAGUGGCGGACGGGUGAGGAAUACAUCGGAAUCUACUUUUUCGUGGGGGAUAACGUAGGGAAACUUACGCUAAUACCGCAUACGACCUACGGGUGAAAGCAGGGGAUCUUCGGACCUUUCGCGAUUGAAUGAGCCGAUGUCGGAUUAGCUAGUUGGCGGGGUAAAGGCCCACCAAGGCGACGAUCUGUAGCUGGUCUGAGAGGAUGAUCGGCCACACUGGAACUGAGACACGGUCCAGACUCCUACGGGAGGCAGCAGUGGGGAAUAUUGGACAAUGGGCGCAAGCCUGAUCCAGCCAUACCGCGUGGGUGAAGAAGGCCUUCGGGUUGUAAAGCCCUUUUGUUGGGAAAGAAAAGCAGCAGGUUAAUACCCCGCUGUUCUGACGGUACCCAAAGAAUAAGCACCGGCUAACUUCGUG